GUGAAUCAUCGAGUCUUUGAACGCAACUUGCACCAUCCAGAGAUGGAUGGUAUGUCUGUUUGAGUACGAAAAACGUAAUGCGCUUCGGUGCGAUGUGGCCCACACGGUGGGUUGAAAAGGAGCCAGUCAGGCUGGACGGUCUGGCAGUGUGCUAGGGACGGAGUGUGGAGUAGGUGGUGCUGAGGUGGGCGUGGAGUGUGGAUGUGCGAUGCAUAUCUGCGCAACACGCUGCACGCAAUACCACCCGCUCGCAUGCUCACUGUCUUGUCGCUGCCGGCGCCAACCAGCCUCAUAAUCCAACCUCACGUCUCAAAUCAAGGCAAGAAGACCCGCUGAACUUAAGCAUAUCAAUAAGGCGAGG
This 361-nucleotide ribosomal RNA is filed under the name uncultured fungus. Its description in RNAcentral is "eukaryotic LSU rRNA". The stretch from base 1 to 69 matches the Rfam family "5.8S ribosomal RNA", at positions 84 to 154 of the family's 154-position model. The record is from RNAcentral. Lineage: Eukaryota; Fungi.